UAGACUCCAUGGUCUAGUUUGUGGGCUGUCAUGCACCGUCAACAACUGGACCUUAUAUAGACAGGUGUGUGCUUUUCCAAAUCAUGUCCAAUCAGCUGAAUUUACCACAGAUGGCCUCCAAUCAAGUUGUGGAAAUGUCUGAAACAUGAUGAGUGGAAACACGAUACACCUGAGCUCAA
Sphaeramia orbicularis (orbiculate cardinalfish) is the source of this 179-nucleotide long non-coding RNA. RefSeq lists it as uncharacterized. Lineage: Eukaryota; Metazoa; Chordata; Actinopteri; Kurtiformes; Apogonidae. The transcript is spliced from 3 exons. The record is from RefSeq and is a predicted model, not a curated record.